UGAAACGCAGCGAGGAAGAAGCGCCGCGAUUUUUUAUUUAUUUAUUUGCGCGCGCGUGUUUAUUUAUUUGUUUUUGAAAUGCUCUUAAAAGACGCUGAUGGGUAACGCCGUCUUGGCAGAGGUUGCCGGCACAGGUGUGCGUCGUUAUCUUAAUUAAGAUCCGGAGAAAACGUCAUCUUUCAGCAUGAAUUAUGAAGGGAGAUGCACGAGGAGAUCAUUUCAGCCUGUUUUGUUUUUUUUUUCCUUCUUCCAUAUGCAGGGAGAAGGGAGGUGAUUUCCCAGCCCUUUUCUGGUAUUUCUGUGUCACAGUUCCUCACCUACAGACUCGUGCUGGAUGAUCUGUUUCCCCCAUAGUUUGGGAACGCAUUGCCUGGAGGCCCCGGGAAAAGCCCUUGUGUCCGAGGCUGCCCCUGUGAGCCGUAUCGGAGGACUUCGGGCUGCGGGAGAAAUUGACAACUAGGAGUGUUUUAUGUCAUGCAUUUGAAGAUGAGCUCAGUGAGACUGGUUUAAGCAGUGCAGAAGUUCGUGGAUGGAAGAAGAGUCCUUGUUUCAGAACACCUAAACGUGAAGAUUUUAUAAACGCCGUUAGGAGAGCUGGCUGCAGGAGGAAUGGAUCUCGUCUGUCUGCUGUGAUUCUUGACCCACCUAAUUGGCUAAUGGCCACGAGCAAUAACAGCGUGGCUCAGGGGAGCGGCGCUGGGGCAGAGAAGCACUGUGCUGCACCAAAGGCAUUGCGUGUGGACCAUAUGCUCUGUCCUUGCAAUGCUUGGCAUGAAAAAAGAAGCAAGUUGCUGUCCGAAAGGCAGUGA
RNAcentral lists this long non-coding RNA (809 nucleotides) under Chrysolophus pictus (golden pheasant). RNAcentral describes it as "lncRNA (ENSCPIG00010006510.1)". Lineage: Eukaryota; Metazoa; Chordata; Aves; Galliformes; Phasianidae. The record is from RNAcentral.